Molecule: ribosomal RNA, 377 nt
Filed under: uncultured bacterium
Lineage: Bacteria
Description: bacterial SSU rRNA
Rfam family: Bacterial small subunit ribosomal RNA
Source: RNAcentral
AUACGUAGGGGGCGAGCGUUGUCCGGAAUUAUUGGGCGUAAAGGGCGUGUAGGCGGCCAUGCAAGUCAGGGGUGAAACCCCGGGGCUCAACCCCGGGCAUGCCUCUGAAACUGCAGGGCUUGAGUGCUCUAGAGGGCAGUGGAAUCCCCGGUGUAGCAGUGAAAUGCGUAGAGAUCGGGAGGAACACCAGUGGCGAAGGCGACUGCCUGGGGAGUAACUGACGCUGAGGCGCGAAAGCUAGGGGAGCAAACAGGAUUAGAUACCCUGGUAGUCCUAGCCGUAAACGAUGAGUGCUAUGUGUGAGGGGUAUCGACCCCCCUCGUGCAGCAGUUAACGCAAUAAGCACUCCGCCUGGGGAGUACGGCCGCAAGGUUGAA